RNAcentral lists this ribosomal RNA (517 nucleotides) under uncultured archaeon. RNAcentral describes it as "bacterial SSU rRNA". It matches the Rfam family "Archaeal small subunit ribosomal RNA", at positions 93 to 593 of the family's 1478-position model. The record is from RNAcentral.
GUAACCCCUUUUCAACCUGCCCUGGAGACAUGGACAACCCCGGGAAACUGGGAUUAAUCCGUGAUAGGUCAUCUCAUCUGGAAGGAGAGAUGGCUUAAAGGGGUACGCGGGCUUCUUCUGCGUAUCUGCUCCAGGAUGGGACUGCGUCCGAUCAGGCUGUUGGCGGGGUAAUGGCCCACCAAACCUGUAACCGGUACGGGCCUUGAGAGAGGUGGCCCGGAGAUGGACACUGAGAGAAGGGUCCAGGUCCUACGGGGCGCAGCAGGCGCGAAACCUUCGCAAUGCGCGAAAGCGUGACGAGGUUAAUCCGAGUGGCCCCCGCUGAGGGGGUCUUUUGUCAGCUGUAAAUAGGCAGGCGAAUAAGGGGAGGGCAAGCCUGGUGUCAGCCGCCGCGGUAAUACCAGCUCCUCGAGUGGUCGGGGCGAUUAUUGGGCCUAAAGCAUCCGUAGCCGGUUCCGUAGGUCCUCUGUUAAAUCCAGCCGCUUAACGGUUGACAUGCAGAGGAUACCGCGGGACU